This 201-nucleotide ribosomal RNA is filed under the name uncultured bacterium. RNAcentral's name for it is "partial 16S ribosomal RNA". It matches the Rfam family "Bacterial small subunit ribosomal RNA", at positions 328 to 539 of the family's 1533-position model. The record is from RNAcentral.
ACGCUCGACACCUACGGGAGGCAGCAGUUAGGAAUAUUGGGCAAUGGAGGAAACUCUGACCCAGCAACGCCGCGUGAAGGAAGAAGGUUUUCGGAUUGUAAACUUCUGAUCUAGGGGAAGAAGGAAGUGACGGUACCCUAGGAGAAGGCCACGGCUAACUACGUGCUAGCAGCCGCGGUAAUCUGAGCGGGCUGGCAAGGC